Molecule: long non-coding RNA, 372 nt
Filed under: Homo sapiens (human)
Lineage: Eukaryota; Metazoa; Chordata; Mammalia; Primates; Hominidae
Description: non-protein coding lnc-KCNJ1-3:2
Source: RNAcentral
ACUCAGGAUCUGCUCUCCGGCAAAGUAGUAAGUGAGGUGCUGAGAGCAGAAUGAGCUACUUUGUGGAUUCUGCUGGGAGCAGCCCCGUCCCUUACUCAGCGCCUCGUCCUGCAGUGGUGUGAAAUACGGACAGAUAAGUUUAUUUUAUUUAUUUUUUUCUUUUUCUUUUUUUUUUUUCUGUCACUCAGGCUGGAGUGCAGUGGCACAAUCUUGGCUCACUCCAACCUCUAUCUUCUGGGUUCAAGCAAUUCUCCUGCCUUAGCCUCCCAAGUAGCUGGGAUUACAGACCUGCACCACCACGCCUGGCUAAUUUUUGUAUUUUUAGUAGAGAAGGGGUUUCACCAUGUUGGCCAGGCUGGUCUCGAACUCAUG